CCUACGGGGGGCUGCAGUGGGGAAUAUUGGACAAUGGGCGAAAGCCUGAUCCAGCCAUGCCGCGUGUGUGAAGAAGGCCUUCGGGUUGUAAAGCACUUUCAGUGGGGAAGAAAGCCUUGGGGCUAAUACCCUCGAGGAAGGACAUCACCCACAGAAGAAGCACCGGCUAACUCCGUGCCAGCAGCCGCGGUAAUACGGAGGGUGCGAGCGUUAAUCGGAAUUACUGGGCGUAAAGCGCGCGUAGGCGGUCUGAUAAGCCGGUUGUGAAAGCCCCGGGCUCAACCUGGGAACGGCAUCCGGAACUGUCAGGCUAGAGUGCAGGAGAGGAAGGUAGAAUUCCCGGUGUAGCGGUGAAAUGCGUAGAGAUCGGGAGGAAUACCAGUGGCGAAGGUGGCCUUCUGGACUGACACUGACGCUGAGGUGCGAAAGCGUGGGUAGCAAACAGGAUUAGAUACCCGGGUAGUC
Molecule: ribosomal RNA, 465 nt
Filed under: Vreelandella stevensii
Lineage: Bacteria; Pseudomonadati; Pseudomonadota; Gammaproteobacteria; Oceanospirillales; Halomonadaceae
Description: partial 16S ribosomal RNA
Rfam family: Bacterial small subunit ribosomal RNA
Source: RNAcentral